Molecule: small RNA, 314 nt
Filed under: Pan troglodytes (chimpanzee)
Lineage: Eukaryota; Metazoa; Chordata; Mammalia; Primates; Hominidae
Description: retained intron
Source: RNAcentral
GCUUAUGGUGAAUGAGAGGAGGGGCUGGAGGUGCAGUUCUGUGGUGCAUGCUUUCUCUUUCAGGCUGAAAGUCACAACAUGAAAAACCAACAGAUGGAUCCCUUUACUCGGCGGCAGUGCAAGCCUACCAUCGUUUCUAAUUCCAGAGACCCAGCUGUUCAAGCUGCCAUCUUGGCCCAGCUGAAUGCAAAAUACGGUUCUGGAGUGUUACCAGAUGCUCCAAAGGAAAUGAGCAAGGGUCAAGGCAAAGAUAAAGAUUUGAAUUCUAAGUCAGCCAGUGACCUCUCAGAAGAUCUGUUCAAAGUACACGAUUU